AAUGGCUGCAGUAAUUUGACUGUACAAAGGUAGCAUAAUCAUUAGUUUUUUAAUUAAAAGCUUGUAUGAAGGGUUGGACGAAAUAAAAUCUGUCUCUUUUUAAUAUUGUUAGAAUUUAAUUUUUAAGUUAAAAAGCUUAAAUUUUUAUAAAAGACGAGAAGACCCUAUAGAGUUUUAUAAUUUAAAUUUAAUAGUUAAUUUAGAUAUAUUUAUUUUAUUUUUUUAAAAUUAUUUUAUUGGGGUAAUAGAAAGAUUAAAAUAAUUCUUUUUUAUAAAAAUCAUUAAUUUAUGAAAAUUUUAUGAUCCAUUAAAUUUUGAAUAUAAGAUUAAAUUACCUUAGGGAUAACAGCGUAAUUUUUUUUAAGAGUUCAUAUCGAUAAAAAAGUUUGCGACCUCGAUGUUGGAUUAAAGAUUAAUUUAGGGGUAGAAGUUUAAAUUUUUGGUCUGUUCGACCAUUGAAUCUUUACAUGAUCUGAGUUCAAACCGGUGUAAGCCAGGUCGGUUUCU
RNAcentral lists this ribosomal RNA (507 nucleotides) under Neotrechus suturalis. RNAcentral describes it as "partial 16S ribosomal RNA". It matches the Rfam family "Bacterial large subunit ribosomal RNA", at positions 1926 to 2639 of the family's 2925-position model. Lineage: Eukaryota; Metazoa; Arthropoda; Insecta; Coleoptera; Carabidae. The record is from RNAcentral.